Molecule: ribosomal RNA, 117 nt
Filed under: Vulpes vulpes (red fox)
Lineage: Eukaryota; Metazoa; Chordata; Mammalia; Carnivora; Canidae
Source: RNAcentral
GUCUACGGCCAUACCACCCUGAACGCGCCUGAUCUCGUCUGAUCUCGGAAGCUAAGCAGGGUCGGGCCUGGUUAGUACUUGGAUGGGACACAUGACAAUAUUAUUUAGCCAUAAAAA